This 460-nucleotide ribosomal RNA is filed under the name uncultured bacterium. RNAcentral's name for it is "partial 16S ribosomal RNA". It matches the Rfam family "Bacterial small subunit ribosomal RNA", at positions 338 to 795 of the family's 1533-position model. The record is from RNAcentral.
CCUACGGGUGGCAGCAGUGAGGAAUAUUGGUCAAUGGACGAGAGUCUGAACCAGCCAAGUAGCGUGAAGGAUGACUGCCCUAUGGGUUGUAAACUUCUUUUAUAUGGGAAUAAAAUGUUCCACGUGUGGGAUUUUGUAUGUACCAUAUGAAUAAGGAUCGGCUAACUCCGUGCCAGCAGCCGCGGUAAUACGGAGGAUCCGAGCGUUAUCCGGAUUUAUUGGGUUUAAAGGGAGCGUAGGUGGAUUGUUAAGUCAGUUGUGAAAGUUUGCGGCUCAACCGUAAAAUUGCAGUUGAAACUGGCAGUCUUGAGUACAGUAGAGGUGGGCGGAAUUCGUGGUGUAGCGGUGAAAUGCUUAGAUAUCACGAAGAACUCCGAUUGCGAAGGCAGUUCACUGGACUGCAACUGACACUGAGGCUCGAAAGUGUUGGUAUCAAACAGGAUUAGAUACCCGUGUAGUC